This is a long non-coding RNA of Schistocerca serialis cubense, 1846 nucleotides long. RefSeq lists it as uncharacterized. The transcript is spliced from 5 exons. The record is from RefSeq and is a predicted model, not a curated record. NCBI's taxonomy places the organism in Eukaryota, Metazoa, Arthropoda, Insecta, Orthoptera, Acrididae.
GACCAUCAGGCGCCGAGGGUCCUCGAGCGCCCUCUGGGUCAGCGCCGCCUCAUUAGCGCAGACGACGACCGCGGCGGCGGCGGCGGGGGCGGCCACAGUCGUGCAGCGGGCGCCGCCUCAACUCUCCCCUCCGUCCUGGUCAUCGCAGACCAUCUGACGUCGCUAUCAGGUGUAUCAGGCGAGAAUGGCACGGAUAUCACCGACGAAAGGAUGAGCCCCGUGUGCCUUCAGUGCCUUGGAAGGACGACGAAAGAGCGACGAUCCUGGAGUAUCCAGCUGUUGCAUGCGCAGCAACUACAGAAUUCUGGAGACCCGUAGAAGGAGCCCAACACACAGAAGAAGUGUGGGCGAUUAGAACCUUGGAAUGCAGCGGCUGCAGCAAACUGGGAUACAUCGCCAUCGCCUGCCACGGUAACAUAUGGAUAAUGACCUGGUCAGCCGGAGAACACUGACUGACGUUAAUAUGAACUAAAGAACCUAUCUCUAACAGAGCGCCGCAACGCACCGACGGCCGGAUAUUCGUCGCUUCCGCCAGAGAUAAUAACCCGCCGCCACCACCACACACUACCCGACGUGCACCGCGGGCAGGAGGAUCGAGCUGACGACUGUCGCUGCUCACUGCUGUCGAUUGCUUUACUUACAAAACUAAUUGUAAUUGAAAAACAUAUGAAUGUCAUUGUGUUAAUUAACUAACAUGUAAGGAGACUAUGUAACAGUAAGGUGACUGACGUCUUACUGUCAGCAUCUGUUAUGUUAUUACCACGUUAUACUAAAGUCAGCAGGAAGUGAACAAUAUUUUGUUACACUUCCCAUUUAAAAAGCGUACAGUGAUUAUUUAUUUUGCACAGGUUUAUUGAAAAUUAUUUUCCUGUUUUGAGUGCGGCUUACUGCAUAAAUUGAAAGUAGUUUGAGAUUUGUAAUUGAUGAAAAUGUCACAGUUCAACUACAGUUUAUUUACAGCGCUCUCCAUUCCAGAGAUACACUUUAACACUGAAAAUUUUCGAUGAAGCUAACAUUUUUACCAGGACAAUUGAAAGUGUUUUUAGUCCACAUUAAGUCUUUCAACUUCCAAAUCUGCUAACUGUUUCUCAGAAAACUUCCAAGAUUUAGGUGUAGCUUCCUCCUUGGGUAACAGAAAUACGAACACGGUCAAGAAAGAUUAUUUCAAACAUUUAGUUCAGUGCAAGGCUGAUUAAUUGAAAGUUGUGAGCAGCUGACGUUCGUGCAUCCACGAUACCUGCUCCGCUCACCGCCUGUCAUCACAGUGUAUAAGAUCUGGAAAUGGUCACAGUUUGGCCGACACUGGUUACCAUUGCCAAUAAAUAUUUUAUUGCGGUCAGGAAUGUUUUUAGUUCAGUUUCAAAAUGUUCGAUCGAGAUCGCUGAUAUUCUCCACGAUAAAUGUUCUCAAAAAUUGCUACGAGCUAAAGUUCGAAUAAAGCACAUACACGAAAACCUAUCACUUGAUAUGGCAUUCUUAUAGUUUCAAAAGGGAGUGAUAAUGAGAGUGAUAAAAUCAUAACGAAACUAGUUCAGAAUAAGAAUAAAAAAUUUUCUCUGCAUGCCCGAACUGGUCUGUACAAUUUAACACCCCUUUCAUCACAGUAAUGCACAUAUACCUUAAAGUGGGGUGAGAAUAGAACAGUUUUCAACUAUAAAAGAAAAAACUGAUACUUUUAAAAAGAAAUGUGAAAAUGAAAAUUAUACGGGUUUAUAGGUCUUGCGCUCAAACUUAUAGAUUUUGAACCUCGCGCCAUUCACCUUGCAGAUCAGAGUGAAUAGAAACAGGACAUUGUUCUGGAUACAUAUCAAAAUAGUUUUGACCUAGAAGAAUAAGAAACAAAAUU